RNAcentral lists this non-coding RNA (21 nucleotides) under Caenorhabditis elegans. The record is from RNAcentral. Lineage: Eukaryota; Metazoa; Nematoda; Chromadorea; Rhabditida; Rhabditidae.
UUUCGUUUUUUCUGUAGUUAG